AGCAUUCUCUGGUGUUGAAGGCCCUGCAAAGCAGCAUCGCGGUGGCGGAGCGUCGUUUGCGACGCCCAACACACAAAACAAGCGGUGAAUGCUUUGGGGUGGGGUGACUGCGUACCUUUUGUAUAAUGGGUCAGCGACUUAUAUUCUGUAGCAAGGUUAACCGAAUAGGGGAGCCGGAGGGAAACCGAGUCUUAAUUGGGCGUUAAGUUGCAGGGUAUAGACCCGAAACCCGGUGAUCUAGCCAUGGGCAGGUUGAAGGUUGGGUAACACUAACUGGAGGACCGAACCGACUAAUGUUGAAAAAUUAGCGGAUGACCUGUGGCUGGGGGUGAAAGGCCAAUCAAACCGGGAGAUAGCUGGUUCUCCCCGAAAGCUAUUUAGGUAGCGCCUCGUGAAUUCAUCUCCGGGGGUAGAGCACUGUUUCGGCUAGGGGGCCAUCCCGGCUUACCAACCCGAUGCAAACUGCGAAUACCGGAGAAUGUUAUCACGGGAGACACACGGCGGGUGCUAACGUCCGUCGUGAAGAGGGAAACAACCCAGACCGCCAGCUAAGGUCCCAAAGUCAUGGUUAAGUGGGAAACGAUGUGGGAAGGCCCAGACAGCCAGGAUGUUGGCUUAGAAGCAGCCAUCAUUUAAAGAAAGCGUAAUAGCUCACUGGUCGAGUCGGCCUGCGCG
RNAcentral lists this ribosomal RNA (675 nucleotides) under Salmonella enterica subsp. enterica. RNAcentral describes it as "partial 23S ribosomal RNA". The stretch from base 78 to 675 matches the Rfam family "Bacterial large subunit ribosomal RNA", at positions 566 to 1165 of the family's 2925-position model. Lineage: Bacteria; Pseudomonadati; Pseudomonadota; Gammaproteobacteria; Enterobacterales; Enterobacteriaceae. The record is from RNAcentral.